This 253-nucleotide ribosomal RNA is filed under the name uncultured bacterium. RNAcentral describes it as "partial 16S ribosomal RNA". It matches the Rfam family "Bacterial small subunit ribosomal RNA", at positions 524 to 776 of the family's 1533-position model. The record is from RNAcentral.
UACGUAGGGACCAAGCGUUGUUCGGAUUUACUGGGCGUAAAGGGCGCGUAGGCGGCUUAACAAGUCACUUGUGAAAUCUCCGGGCUUAACUCGGAACGGCCAAGUGAAACUGUCAAGCUAGAGUGCAGAAGGGGCAAUCGGAAUUCUUGGUGUAGCGGUGAAAUGCGUAGAUAUCAGGAGGAACACCUGAGGUGAAGACGGGUUGCUGGGCUGACACUGACGCUGAGGCGCGAAAGCCAGGGGAGCAAACGGG